Molecule: non-coding RNA, 101 nt
Organism: Polyplosphaeria fusca
Lineage: Eukaryota; Fungi; Ascomycota; Dothideomycetes; Pleosporales; Tetraplosphaeriaceae
Source: the annotation of a GenBank genome assembly
GGUCUUAUGGUCUAGUGGUAUGAUUCUCGCUUAGGGAUUACGAGUCACAUCGUUCCUGAGCAAUUUGCGAGAGGCCCCGCGUUCGAAUCGCGGUAAGACCC